Long non-coding RNA from Stegostoma tigrinum, 5016 nucleotides. RefSeq lists it as uncharacterized. Lineage: Eukaryota; Metazoa; Chordata; Chondrichthyes; Orectolobiformes; Stegostomatidae. The record is from RefSeq and is a predicted model, not a curated record. The transcript is spliced from 5 exons.
UUAAGAAUAUAAUGAUGACCAUGAAUUGAUUGCCAAAUGUCAGAAAAACUCAGCUGGGUCACUGAUGUGCUUUAGGGAAGGAAACUGCCACCCUUGCAUGAUCUGGCCUACAUGUGACUGCAGACCCACAGCAAUAUGAUUGACUUUGAACUGUCCCCUAGGCAAUUAGGGAUGGACAAUAAACACUGCGUAGCUAGGGAUGUCCUCCUCCCAUGAACAAAUAAAUAAAAUUGGAUUCUACAUCUUCCGAUCCAAGAUCAUUUCUUGCUCUCAUAGUAAUUUCUUUGCUUACAGUCACUUUCCCUCCUGCCUGUCUUUUUGGAAUGUCGUAUAGCCCUGCGCACUUAGCUCCAGUGUUGAUCUCCUUGUAACCAUGUCUUUGUAAUAGCUAUAAAAUCAUGCCCGUCAACCUAGAAAUGUGCUAUUAAUUUGUUGAUUUUGUUCUGAAUACAAUGAGCACGCAAGCAAAGAGCCAUGAAUUUAGCUUUAUCACUUGAUUUCACCUCUUGACACUAUUUACAGCUGUUUUCUGUUUGUACAUGCUGUCUUUUCCAGUACCACGCUGAGUAUUGUUAUCCCGAUAGUUCUUUCGUAUCAGUCCGUGUGUAUUCCUGGGCGAAUGUGCUCGUGUGGUCUCAGGAGUUGCGGAAGUCACGGCUCUGGGACAGCCGUUUCAUGGCCCUAUGCUGCAGGAAAAAAGCAAUGAAAGUGCCGUUAAUUUUUUGCAUGGCGAGCUGCUGCAUACGAACCGGUCUCACACCAUUACCAUCACCUUGCCCUUGUGAAGGCAGAUAUGGAUAAGGUUCUCAAAGCUGAUAGAAGAUUGAAACCACUCUAAUCCUGUGAUGAUGAACCUGCCCCGGAAGAGAGAGCCCAGAGAAUUGCCAAAGCUGUCCGCAAACAGUCAACAGAAGUGAAGGAAAAUUGGGAACAACUGAAAAUCCGUGCGAGCAACUGGCAGAAACAGGUGGAAAAGGGCGUUGGAGAAACUUCAAGAACUGCAGAAAGCUCUGGAUGAUCUUGAGGCUCAUGUGAGAACAGCUGAGGGGGUCCACACUGGCAACCUGUGGGUGACCUGCUUAUUGACGCAUUGCAGGAUCACAUUGAUAAAACCACAGGGAAGGACUAUCUGCAAAAUCUGAGAUUGGGUUUUCAAAGACAGCAGCCUUUGUUUUGGAGAGAUAAUGGGAACUGCAGAUGCUGGAGAAUGCGAGAUAACAACGUGUGGAGCUGGAUGAAGACAGCAGGCCAAGCAGCAUCUUAGGAGCAAAAAAGCUGAUGUUUCGGGCCGAAAACCUUCUUCAGAAAAUGGGGAGGGGGUGCGGGUUCUGGAAUAAAUAGGGAGAGAGGGGGAGGCGGGUGGAAGAUGGAUGGAGGAGAAGAUAGGUGGAGAGGAGAGUAUGGGUAGGGAGGCAGGGAGGGGAUAGGUCAGUCUGGGGAGGGGAAAUAGGGGUGCGGCAUGAGGUGGGAGGGGGGAUGGGUGAGAGGAAGACUAGGUUAGGGAGGCGGGGACGAGCUGGGCUGGUUUUGGGAUGCAGUGGCAGGACAGGAGAUUUGGAAGCUUGUGAAAUCCACACUGAUACCAUUGGGCUGCAGGGUUCCCAAGCAGAAUAUGAGUUGCUGUUCCUGCAACCUUGGGGUGGCGUCAUUAUGGCACUGCAGGAGGCCCAGGUUGGACGUGUCCUCUCAGGAAUGGGAGGGGGAGUUGAAAUGGUUCGUGACUGGGAGGUGCAGUUGUUUAUUGCAAACUGAGCGCAGGUGUUCUGAAAAGCGGUCCCCAAGCCUCUGCAUCGUUUCCCCAAUGUAGAGGAAGCCACAACGGGGACAGCGGAUGUUUUGGAUAUUUCUUUAGCAUUGAUUUUCAUUCAGAGUUGGUUGGAUUUUGCUGAAGCAAUAGACAUAACUCACUAUGACGUAGACAAUGUCAGAGUUAAUGUUUCGCGUCCUGUGACCCUUCCUCAGAUCUCACUCUUCACUGAUGCUGCCAGACCUGCUGAGCUUUUCCAGCAACUUCUGCUUUUGUUGCUGAUUUACAGUGCCCACAGUUCUUUUGUUUUUUACAACACAGACAAAACUUGAUCUCUGCAGGAAGCAUGAUGCUGCAUUCUCCAACUUCCCUGGCCUUUUGUAAUAUAAUACUGUCUUUUUAGGACAGAAGUGGCUUUUUUUUGUUUGUUUUAAUUUCUGCACAUGCUUUCUAUGCAGGUUAAAAGUCUACACCUUUUCAGUUCACUGCAGUGCUGCAUAAUGAAGACUUGGAACAAUUUUUUUAUAUAAAGUGGAAAAUCAGUGUGGUUUGUUUUCCAAAAUGUGAUGUCUUUCCUGGAGCAAGUCUGUUUUCCUUCGGAUGAGACGACUUUCAGACAUACUCGGUUUAUUAUGAGAUUUAAUUGGGGUAAAAUGAGGAGGAUUUUUAUUCACUGAGACACACAUGACUAUAUGUUGAAAGCAUUGGAAAAUGCACUCUGUUAGGACUGUCAUGUUAUCUGGUGUUUGUACCAGGCUUUCCGAUUAAAUGCAAGUGAUUAAGGAUGCUAAUGAUGCCACAUGUUAUUACAAGAGGAAAUGAACAUCCAAGUAACGAUUUUAUGCCACAUUUAUGCAUAGCAUGGACCAUGCAGAAUGGAUGCCGGGACGGAGUGAAGUGGGAUGCAGUGCCUCAGUGAGAUGCUCACAGCGAAUUGCCCCCUCCAUCCUGACCCGCUCACAGCGACUUGCCCCUCCAGUCCAGACCCGCUCUCAGCGACUUUCCCCCUCUGUCCUGACCCGCUUGCAGCGAAUUGCCCCCUCUGUCCUGACCCGCUCGCAGCGACCUGCCCCUGCAGUCCUGACCCGCUCACAAUGACGAGCCCCUGCAGUCCUGACCCGCUCACAGUGACGAGCCCCUGCAGUCCUGACCUGCUCACAGCGACUUCUCUCUGCAGUCCUUUCCCGCUCACUGCGACACGCCCCUUCAGUCCUGUCCCAAUCACAGGGACUUGCCCUCUCCGUCCUCACCCACUCACAGCGACUUGCCCACCUCAGUCUUGACCCGCUCACAGCCGUCUCCCCCCUCUGUCCUGACCCCCUCACAGCAACCUACCCCUCCUUGCUGACCCGCUCACAGUGACUUGCCCCUGCAGUCCUGACCCCCCUCACAGUGACCUGCCCCCUCACUCCUGACCCGCUCUGCAUUGAGGAAACCAAGCGGAGGCUUGGGGACCGCUUUGCAGAACACCUCCGCUCGGUUCGCAACAAACAACUGCACCUCCCAGUCGCGAACCAUUUUAACUCCCCCUCCCAUUCCUUAGACGACAUGCCCAUCAUGGGCCUCCUGCAGUGCCACACUAAUGCCACCCGAAGGUUGCAAGAACAGCAACUCCUCAUCCGCUUGUGAACUCUGCAAUCCAAUGGUAUCAAUGUGGACUUCACAAGCUUCAAAAUCUCCCCCUUCCCAACUGCAUCCCAAAACCAGCCCAGUUCUUCCCCUCCCGCUACUGCAUCACAAAACCAGCCCAGCCUGUCUCCGCCUCCCUAACCUGUUGUUCCUCUCACCCAUCCCUUCCUCCCACCUCCACCCACACCUCCAUUUCCUACCUCCCACCUCAUCCUGCCUCCUUGACUUGUCCAUCUUUCCUGGACUGACCUAUCCCCUCCCUCCCUCCUCACCUGUACUGUCCUCUCUACCUAUCUUGUUUUCUCUCCAUCUUUGGUCCGCAUCCCCCCCUCUCCCUAUUUAUUCCACUUCCCUCUCCCAUCCCCCUCUCUGAUGAAGGGUCUAGGCCUGAAAUGUCAGAUUUUGUGCUCCUGAGAUGCUGCUUGGCCUGCUGUGUUCAUCCAGCUCCACACUUGGUUAUUUUGGAUUCUCCAGCAUCUGCCAUUAUCAGUGGCCUUUCCUCUUUGUCAAAGUUUGUGCAAAAGCAACACGAUAUGGGGCGGCACGGUGGCUCAGUGGUUAGCACUGCAGCUUCACAGCACUGGAGGCUCAGGUUCAAUUCCAGCCUCAGGCAACUGUUUGUGUGGAAUUUGCACCUUGUCCCUGUGUCUGCGUGGGUUUCCUCGAGGUGCUCCGGUCUCCUCCCACAGUCCAAAGAGGUGCACGCUAGGUGGAUUGGCCAUGCUAAAUUGCCCAUAGUGUUCAGGGGCAUGGGUCUGGGUGGGAUGCUCCAAGGUUUGGUGUGCACUUGUUGGGCCAAAGGUCCUGUUUCCACACUGUAGGGAAUCUAAACAAAUCUGUUCCAACAUCUCCAUGUUAUAACCCUGCUGAUCACUGCACACAGAGAUGUUUGUUAACAAAAGGAUAACAAUAAUAUUCAAACCCAGUGCUGGAGAUGUAUUUUAAAUCCACUGAGGCCAGUGUCGAUCUCCAAUUCAACUUGUAUUUACAAAUGACCUGUCUUCAACUUUAGCACUGCCUCAUUCAGAGAUAGUUGCCAGGGUGUCAGCAUCUCUGACCCUCACACAACUUAUCUGUCAGCCAGGGCUCCCUGAUUUGAGCUAUUAAUAUGGACCAAUCAGGCAACUCAUAUUCUGUGAUGUUCAACUGGCCGACCUGGUCACAAACCAGUGCGGUGUGUUCGUCGAAAAUCAAACAUGUACUCGAAAGGUACCAUUACAUACCAGUGCAAAGGAAGGCAUGAGGCUAAACUGGGGAGGGAAGGGAACUGCUUACUGGGGGUGGCCCAGAGAGUGGAAGAAAAUCGAAUGGGAAGAAGACCAUUUGAGACUGAGGGAGAGAGAUGUAAUUGCCUGAAUGAGGCAUUCCAAUUGCGAAAUGGAUUUUUGUGUGUACACCAUGUUCAGUUUCCCCGAUCUUAAUCUGUACUCCUCUUUAAAUCAUUAGUAUCUGAAAUUUCUGUAUCAUUUCCAAAUGCUCUGUCUCUAAUGUUAUGCUGUUGGAAUUGGUUGAACUGCAGAGAUAUCAUUUAUUUGCACAAAUGUGUUCAGUGAAAUGAGUUGCAUGCUAUAUAUGUAUUAUUCUUCCUGAUUCUAUUAUACGCAUACAAAUUAAAGUUAGUUCCACUUUUGAACAACAAA